This 1086-nucleotide ribosomal RNA is filed under the name Amorphomyces sp. Its description in RNAcentral is "SSU rRNA". It matches the Rfam family "Eukaryotic small subunit ribosomal RNA", at positions 21 to 1115 of the family's 1831-position model. Lineage: Eukaryota; Fungi; Ascomycota; Laboulbeniomycetes; Laboulbeniales; Laboulbeniaceae. The record is from RNAcentral.
AGUCAUAUGGCUUGUCUCAAAGAUUAAGCCAUGCAUGUGUAAGUAUAAGCAACUAUACUGUGAAACUGCGAAUGGCUCAUUAAAUCAGUUAUUGUUUAUUUGAUGGUACUCUACUACUUGGAUAACUGUGGUAAUUCUAGAGCUAAUACAUGCUAAAAACCCCGACUAGCGAAGGGGUGUAUUUAUUAGAUUUUAAACCAACGCCUCUCCCGAGGCCGCCGGUGACUCAUGAUAACUUGACGCAGCGUAUGGCAGUUCUGCCGACGCGAGAUCAUUCAAAUAUCUGCCCUAUCAAGUUUCGAUGUGAGGGUAGUGUCCUCACAUGCUUUUGACGGGUAACGGGGAAUUAGGGUUCGACUCCGGAGAGGGAGCCUGAGAAACGGCUACCACAUCCAAGGAAGGCAGCAGGCGCGCAAAUUACCCAAUCCCGACACGGGGAGGUAGUGACAAGAAAUACCGAUAUAGGGUCCUUUCGGAUCUUGUGAUUGGAAUGAGUACAAUUUAAACCCAUUAACGAGGAACAACUGCAGGGCAAGUCUGGUGCCAGCAGCCGCGGUAAUUCCAGCUGCAGUAGCAUACAUUAAAAUUGUUGCAGUUAAAACGCCCGUAGUUGAAGUUUGGGCUUGAUUGACUGGUCCGCCUCACCGCGAGUACUGGUGUGAUUGGGUCUUUCUUUCUGGAGAACCACAUGCCCUUGAUUGGCUGUGUCGGGGAACCAGGACUUUUACUUUGAAAAAAUUAGAGUGUUCAAGCAGGCUUUUGCUCGGAUACCUUAGCAUGGAAUAAUGAAAUAUGACUAGUGGUUGUGUUUUGUUGGUUUUUACAACCGCUGUAAUGAUUGAUAGGGAUGGUUGGGGGCAUCGGUAUUCAAUCGUCAGAGGUGAAAUUCUUGGAUUGAUUGAAGACCAACUGCUGCGAAAGCAUUUGCCAUGGGAUGUUUUCAUUAAUCAAGGACGAAAGUUAGGUGAGCGAAAACGAUCAGAUACCGUUGUAGUCUUAACCGUAAACGAUGCCGACUAGGAAUCGGGCGGUGUCUUCUCAAUGACUCGCUCGGCACCUUGUGAGAAAUCAAAGUUUUUGGGUUCU